UUUUCGAAGCGGGCAAUAUUGUAAAUGCAAUGCGUCAUUUAAAAAUCUGAAAGAAACACGAAGAAAUAUUCGAGAUUUCAGCAAACAACAAGAAUCGCUACGUUGACAAAUUUUUAAUAGGAUGGCAGACAAACGGAAGGCUAAAAAACGAAAAGAGGAAUUCGGGGAACUCCCCGAGUCAGAGAAGCCGACCAGUGAGGAGUACGCGGUCGCGAAAUGGCUGAAGGCCAACGUACCCACCAAGAAAACCAAGUUCCUUAACCACCAUGUAGAGUAUUUUACAGGUACAAAAGCAGUGGACGCGCUUCUAACAUCAAAAUGGGCGACGGGCAAGAACCCAAUAUUCACAACGCGCCACGAAGUCACCGACUAUCUGCAUCUAAUGCUGUUGCACAAACUAUUUCAUAGGGCUAAGAAGGUUCCAGUAACUGAGCAAGAGUUAAAAGGAAAGUCAAAAAAGAAGGAUGCAGAUAAAUCAGGCAAGAGUGGGGAUGAGAAAGACGAUGGCAAGGCAAGUGCUUGUGAAAGCAAGGAUACCAAAGAUGGCAAAGAUAAAGACAAGGAUAAAGAUAAGGAAAAAGAGAAAAAGAAACGCAAGAUCCGUCUAGAGAUGCACAUGGAACAGCUGUUCUUGGACAGUCUGGAUGCGUACGUGUGGAUAUACGACCCCAUGCCUUGGUACUAUUGGCUGUGUGGCGCGUUGGUGGUGUUUGGCACCAUUGGCGUGUGUAUGUUCCCGCUUUGGCCGGCUACUGUAAGAAAAGGGGUAUACUACCUGAGUAUUGCAGCUGCUGCUUUCUUAGUGCUAAUCAUAGCGCUGGCCGUGCUGCGAGUGGUGGUGUUCUGUCUGCUGUGGAUGCUGACUCUGUCGCGACACCAUCUGUGGCUGUUGCCCAACUUGACAGAGGACGUCGGCUUCUUUGCCUCGUUCUGGCCUUUGUAUAAGUACGAAUACCGCGGUCCGGGUUCCGAUAGCGACAAGGCGUCAAAAAGCAAGAAAAAACGUAAGAAAGACAAACAUUCCGACGAUGAGGAUGAAAAGACUCCCCUCGUGCAAGCGGAGCCGGAGGAAGAGACUAGCGCAAAGGCGAACGCUGCGCAAGAGCACACGGCUACUCAGGAAGAUACUAAAGAUGACACGCCAGAGCAAGUCCCGAGCACGGACAAACUCUCGGAAUCAGAAUCAGACAACAGUCAGCGGUCGUCCACAGACCGCGACUUUGAGAUUGUGGAGCCAGGAGACGUUGAAGAUCCCGACUCCAAAGAAGGAUCCGACUCCAAGGAGGAACCGGAUCCUAAAAGUAGCAAUACCACUUAGAUGUAGACAUAAUCAUAGAUAUUAUAGGCUGGCAAUACACUAAGCUGAGAUUAAUGGAGCGUACUUUGACCAUGAUCAAAGUACGCUCUAUAGAUUUCAGCCUAAACCUGAUCGCACAUCUACCAAAGCGCACCGUACGUACCGCAUUUUUAUUACGUGGUUCAAUAAGAUUUCGUCAGAUAAGUGUUGUCGCGAUAUUUGUUAAAAUACAUAAUAGAUUAUAGAUACCCUUAGAUUAAUGAAAUCGUACUUUGACAUUUGACAUUUACCUUUAUUCAUCGUACUUUGACAUUUGACGCAUGACAGUUGACACAUACCUAGAGCAAAUAUGGCGAGUGUGUUCUUAAAAUGUAUGCACUACAAUGGAGAUGGGUAUGUGCAUGGAUACUGAACGCGGGAAGCUAAGAUUGAUUAACGAACCAAUAGAGCGGCGGCACAGAAUCCCAUAUCGUGAAAUUUCACUUCGGACCACCAAAUAGACCGAUAAAUCAUUCACAGAAGUUCAAAGUCGGAAUUCUUUUACAUGAUUGCAUGAUAUAAUGCAUACAUUUAGUUCUCACUCGCCAAUUUAACUCUGUGUCAACUGUCAUGCCAAAAGUACGUUUUUAGUCCUUAACUAGCUGAUGCCCGCGACUUCGUCCUCGUGGAUUUAGGUUUUCAAAAAUCCCUUGGGAACUCU
Maniola jurtina (meadow brown) is the source of this 1997-nucleotide RNA transcript. It is a transcript of the gene named translocation protein SEC62, with no coding region annotated. The record is from RefSeq and is a predicted model, not a curated record. Lineage: Eukaryota; Metazoa; Arthropoda; Insecta; Lepidoptera; Nymphalidae. The transcript is spliced from 9 exons.